CAUAAAAUAAUAAAUAAAUCUUAAAAAAAAAUACAACUGCAAGUGAGAGGAAACUUAAAAUCUAUUAUAUGAAUUGUUUCAUAAAAGAAUAUUUUCAUAGAUAUCAUACAAGUUAAUACAUAUGAUAUCCUGAUUACUCUAACUUAUUUUUCUCUUGUCCCCUAUUUUUGUCUAGAUUAAUUUCAAUUUUUUUUCCUCCCUCUUUGGUUUUGAGAUCAGGUUUUUCUAUUGGCUGUUCUGGAAUUAAUUUUUAGACCAGGCUGGCCUCAAACUCAUCUGCCUCCCAAGUGCUGGUAUUAAAGGUGUCCACCACUAUACCUGGUCCUAAUCUCAGUCUUUUAAAUAUCAUCCUAGGGUAUUUGCCCCAGUGGAGAUUUGUAGAUUGUUCUAUUUUUAGUCAUGGAGGUGGCAUAGCAUAGUAAAUAGCCAUGACUAUAGAGCAUUCCACUUCGGCCUAAAUCCCAAAAGACCACGUGAUAGCUGUGUGACCUUGGUUAAGUCACUUCUUGAUGCAUUAGUUUCAUCCUCCCUAAGACUAUCAGAUGGGUAGUAUCUAUUUCAUAGGGUUGUUGAGGGAUUGGUAAGAUAAAAUAGGCAAAGUCAUUUAGAAGUUCUUUGUUCCACUGUUUCAGAGAUGUGCAUGGUGUGACUUCAAAUAUUAACACUUUGCCCUCAUUCAUACAUGCACUUUGGUGUUGGUCAUUGUCUUUCUCAUUGUUAACAUUAUUCCAUUAUAUUUACAUAUAUUGUGCUGGAUAAAAAGUCUCCCAAAACUGUGAUCCUUUCUUUAAAGCUAAGAAUUUUGGGAGGAUUACUCUUUAUAUUUGAUGUUCUGUGCUUUCAGUAUUAUUUGUAUAUCAUAUUCUAGUGCUUAUUUGCAUAUUUAAAAUGCAUUUGUUGUACCCCCCGUCCCCCCCUCCCCCCACAUCUACGUGUGUUAGAAAUGGUGAGUUCCUCAUGUGGUAGUUUGAAUAAUCCCCAUAGGCUCAUAUAUAUUUGUUUGCUUAGUACCUCCCCGCCCCAUUGAAUUGCUUGGAAGGAUUAGGAGGUGUGUCAUUGUUGAAGGAAGUGGUCACUGGUGUGGAUUGAAGGUUUCAAAGGCUCAUGUUAGGCCAGGCCAAGUGUUUUUCUUUCUGUCUGCUGCCUGCAAAUCAGGGCAUAAAAGCUCUCAGCUACUUGCUCCAGUGCCAUGCCUGUUUGAUUUCAACCAUGAUAAUGAACUAACCCUCCCAAACUGUAAGCAAUCCUCCAACUAAAUGCUUUCUUUUAUAAGAGUCACCUCGGUCAUGGUAUCUCAGUUGCGAGUGCUUCUUUGAUUAUGAGAUUGGCAAUCAUCGGUAUAAUGUUUCAGGACUAUAGCUAGCUUUGGAAUGGGUUGAUACACAGGUGGAAUCUGAGGAUGAUUUGACUAGUGGGUACUGUAUAUGUAGUCAGCUUUACCCCGACUCUAGAGCUGUUAAGACGAUGAGGUAAUUUGUGUGUUUUGACAGUAUCAUCUGAGUAUAUACUGAUGCAGAAACAAACACAUUUCCUAUUUUUGGAACAUGGUUAUUUCUUUUAUGAUUGUUUAUAUUUGGUUGUUUAUUUUCUACUGAAUUUUGGCAGCAACACAGUUCACCAUCUGCAUUAAUCCACCAUGACACAAGAGUCAGAAAUCACAACACGCAAAAAUGGUACUUACUCUCUAUAGAUUAUUAAAAUCCCUUAGAUCGGUUAGAGGAACAAAGAUACAGCUAUAGUGCGCACCAGAGGAAAAUUUCAUCUGCUUCAGCUUGCACACAAUGCAAAUGCUCCCACCUCAAUCUAUGUAUAUACAAAACUGCAUGUGUAUAUCAUGGCACAUGAAACAUGGCAAGUCAGAAGAAUCAUAGGAGCAAUCUUCACCAAAUUAUUUAAAAAGUAAAUCGAGCUAGUGUGAGGAAAGAUGCAGCUAAAACAAUGGCAGAUAUUUCAUCUCGUAAGUACUCUUGGUGUGAAUGGGCGUGUGUGUGUGUGCAGCUGUACUGGCAAUGCUUUUCAUUUCCACACUCUCAGCUGUGUAUAGAGGAGUCUAAGUUUUAGAAUAAGAAAGAGGACUUAAAAUUUAUAGAAAAAAAUUUUAAAAUAAAAUUUAAGUGCAGGAGUAGUAAUGAUAGGAUUACAACGACCAUUUAUUGAUCAAUGUAUUCAAUCUCAUGCUGAAUAAUUUUAUGAAAUCUAUAGAGGGUAAGUAACUUACCCACGGCCACAUAACUUUCAUGAAGUGUAAGUCAACAUGCCUACCAGUGGGUUUGAUUCCAGGGAUGCAAUUAAUGAUCAUGUAAGCUGGGCCUCUCCUUUGAGUUCUUGUUUUUAAGUUGUUUUGUUUAUAAAUAAAGACAGUGUUUUAUAAUCUACCACUUAUUGGGCCACUUAAGAUUUUGAUGCAUUCUUUAAUCCUUUUCUGCCUUUCCCUGUUUAUGUAAACUCUGUGUUCUACAGCUACUGAUAACAACAACAACAAGAAGACAACAAACAACUGUGAUGAUGGAUGAGUCCCGUGCCAAGUGUCUAAAAGACAGAGGGAAUUUGCCCACACAUUCUCAGGAUUACAGUCUUAAACACCAAGGUUGCUAUGACUGCAAAUGAUAGAAUUGAUGAUUGUGUUCAGUGUCCAAAAGGAUUACUCACAACAAGCAUCUGGACAAGAGAAAGCACUUCAGCAAUUCCGAUUCAAUUCUGUUCUUAUAAACCUUACAUAUGCCUUCCUGGCACACAUAAAUUAAAAACAUCUAAAAGUUUAUCAAUAUUACUUUAGUAAGUGCUUUCAGGAAAUAGACAAAAACCUCUGCAGUUCAAAAUCAUGAUGCCAUUCCUUGGUUUUUAUGACACGUUGCUAAGUUUACAGCUCUGUCCAACUCAGAACACUGAGGGUGUUAUAUGUCCCUGGAUCUUCAUCUUAUGAGACUCUAAGGCCCCACAAAAAGUGCUUUUAAAAUUUGUUAUGCUUCUCUCUUGUUGAUCUUCAUGUUAAUUCCAUUCUUAGGCCCAACAAAAGACCCCAACAGGGUAAGAUAAAGUUCUUCAGUCUUUUAUUUUCUUACUUGAAAACUGAGAAUGUCAAUUGUAUCACUGCAUGACUACACUCUAUAGCAGUGGUUCUCAGCCUCCCAAAUGCUGUGAUCCUUUAACACAGGUCCUCAUGUUGUGGUGGCCUCCAAUCAUAAAUAUUUGGUAUUGAGGAUAUCUGAUAUGUGACCCUUGUGAAAGAGUCACUUGACCUCCAACCUCAAGGGAUCAUGAGCCACAUGUUGAGAACCACUGCUAUAUACAGUUAAUUUAAGAAUAAAAUGAGUUUAUAUUUGGAAAGUUUUAUUAAGUAUGCUUGAAAUAAAUGUUGUGUUUUAGUCACUAUCUCAUCUUCAUUUUACCCUUUUCAGAAAAGAGCUCUAGAGAGAAUGGACCUCCCAGUGUCUUCUCUACCUGGCUCUUCUCUCAAAGUUUCAAGGUUUUUGUUUUGUUUUAAGUUCACAAUGCUUCCUUGCCUUGGUAUAAUUCUACUUUUUUGCUGUCCAUUCAUGAUUAAAAAUAGGAUAAAGACCAGAAUAAUUUUCCAAAAUAACUACUGUGAUAGUUAUCAUUUGGCUACAAAUCUAGGCUGUAACAGUCUUCAUUUUUAAAAAAGAUUCCUCUAUUCCUCUAUGUGUGUGCCGAUGUGAGUUUAUGUGAGCCAGCAGGCCAGAAGAUGGUGUCAGGUCUUCUGAAGGUGGAUGCUACAAGUGUUUGUGAACUGCCAGGUGAGUGCUAGGAGACAAACUCAUGUCUUCUACAAGAGAAACAAGUGCUCCUUAGCCACUGCACCAUCUCUCCAGCUAUUAGUAGUCUGUUUCUCCAUCCCUCCCUUCAUUCCUCCCUC
Long non-coding RNA from Mus musculus (house mouse), 3874 nucleotides. RefSeq annotates it as predicted gene, 53677. The transcript has 3 exons. NCBI's taxonomy places the organism in Eukaryota, Metazoa, Chordata, Mammalia, Rodentia, Muridae. The record is from RefSeq and is a predicted model, not a curated record.